This 396-nucleotide transfer RNA is filed under the name uncultured Microcystis sp. RNAcentral's name for it is "partial contains 16S-23S ribosomal RNA intergenic spacer, and 23S ribosomal RNA". The stretch from base 133 to 206 matches the Rfam family "tRNA". The record is from RNAcentral. Lineage: Bacteria; Bacillati; Cyanobacteriota; Cyanophyceae; Chroococcales; Microcystaceae.
AAGGGAGACCUAAUUCAGGUAGGAGACGAAAAAAAAGUAGUCGCUACCAAGAAUCAAUCCCAAAAGGUCGGAACGAGGUAUGUGGCUUUCAAACUAGGUUCUGGGUUCAUAAAAGACCUGAAUCAGGAACAAGGGCUAUUAGCUCAGGUGGUUAGAGCGCACCCCUGAUAAGGGUGAGGUCCCUGGUUCGAGUCCAGGAUGGCCCACCUGCACAGGUGGCAAAAACAAGAGAAGCUCCGAAUCAGCACCUUAUCUUACUUAUAUAGUAAGAGAGAAUGCUGGCUCUGAGUAAAGAGUCCAGAGGAACCUUGAAAACUGCAUAGAGCUAGGUGAAAAAGCCAAAAAAGAAGACCGCAAGGUCAAGCUAAUAAGGGCUAACGGUGGAUACCUAGGCAC